This 5582-nucleotide long non-coding RNA is filed under the name Brassica napus (rape). RNAcentral describes it as "long non-coding RNA (BNAP_LNC002064)". Lineage: Eukaryota; Viridiplantae; Streptophyta; Magnoliopsida; Brassicales; Brassicaceae. The record is from RNAcentral.
AGAUAGAGAUAAAGAGGAUAGAGAACGCAAACAACAGAGUGGUGACGUUCUCAAAGAGGAGGAAUGGGUUGGUGAAGAAGGCCAAAGAGAUCACGGUUCUUUGCGAUGCAAAAGUUGCUCUCAUAGUCUUUGCAAGUAAUGGUAAGAUGACUGAUUAUUGUUGUCCUUCCAUGGACCUUGGUGCUAUGUUAGACCAAUAUCAGAAGUUAUCUGGCAAGAAACUAUGGGAUGCUAAGCAUGAGGUACUCUCUCUUUGAUAUAAUCUAAAGUUUCAUUGUCUCAAAAAAUAUUCUAUGACCAUUGAUUUUCAUGAAUUUCAUUGCCUAAAACAUGUCAGAUCCCUUGAAUCUUCAACUCUAGACGCAGAUCUACUCUAGUGUUUUGUCUCAAACAAAUAUUCUGUGCUACAUAUCAUGAAAUUGAUUCUUUAUUUAUAUUUUCCUAAAAUAUGUCAAAAAGAUAAACCAUGAACCCUAGAUGCAGAUCUACAAAGCUUUCUUUUGUGUAUUAAGCCUAUCAAGCCUCUUUAUUGAUUCUCUUGUACUCAAACAAGACAUGGAGCCACAAAACAUGGAAGUUAUUCUCUUCUUUCCAUUGUUUUUUUUAUUAGUGCUUAGUUUUAAAGCUCUUGAUGAAUAUAUUCUACAGUAAAAACAUAUUGCAUUCACAACCUGUAUUUUGAAACCAUAAAAGACAAUCUUAAGUGUGUUAGAUCCAUAAGUAAUUUCAUUAUUAGGUCAUGAUUAUGGAGAAAAAAACCUGGGGAGUGAUAUUACUGAUGAAAAUGUCUGAACAGUUUACCGAUUUUACAUUUGUGAUUUUCGAAACUAAUUAAAAACUGGGAAGUACUGUUGAAUAGACUUUUUUACAACAGGUUUAGUCAAAAUAUUAUAUUUUUAUUAAUUAGUUCUGACACUGAUAGGUUUUGUUCUCAUAUAUCUCUAUACAGUAAUAAGCUUUCAUAGAGUUGUAAGCCAUUUAAGUGACUGCCUAGUAAUAUCUGUGUAUCUGCAUAUAUAUACUUUUUACAUAAAGCGUGAAUGUGUAUAAAUAUAUAUAUAUAUAUAUGUAUUUAUCUGCAUAAAUCAUGAACAUAUAGAGAUCGUCAUGCAUAACCAGAUCUGAGUCUCCAGUUUCUUUUUAAGACAUAUUUUAUGUCUAGUAUAUAGACAAGGGAAUUUUUAGUUUGAUCUAAAUUCUUAAAUACCAAUUUUGUUCAUCUAAUACACAUCCAAAUAAUUUUGGUCUCCAGAACCUCAGCAAUGAGAUUGACAGGAUCAAGAAAGAGAAUGAUAACUUGCAACUCGAGCUCAGGUCAAUCUUCACCCUUGGCCACAUCUUUGCACUAGUAUAUAUAAAAUGCUUGGUUAAAAAUGUUAAAUAUCAAUAUAAAUGAGAAAUGCAUAUAAGUCUUGAAUAUAUACAGGCACUUGAAGGGGGAAGAUAUACAGUCUCUCAACUUAAAAAACCUGAUGGCCGUAGAGCAUGCCAUUGAACAUGGCCUCGACAAAGUCCGAGACCACCAGGCAUGAAUAAUAUAUCUGUACAUUCAUUCAUACAUCUCUUCGUACAUUCAUAUUCAACAACUCUUGUAUGGUCUGUUUGUCUCAGAUGGAGUACCUCAUGACGAAAAGGAGAAAUGUGACCAUAUAAACAAAUUUCUAUACCUUACUAUUUAGCCUUCAGAUUGAUUAUUAAUUAGUGCUUACAGUUACAUCAAACAUUUUCUGUGGCAGGAAAAAAUGUUGGCGGAGGAGAAUCGGCAACUCAGUUUCCAGCUGGUACAUUUAAAGUCAUAUAUCCUUGAAGCCUUUAGCGUUAUUGAUUUGGUUUAAUAAUAUAUAUAUUAGUAUGUUUGUUGGGUUUGAUAUAUGCAGCAACAACAGGAGAUGGCUAUAGCUAGCAAUGCAAGAGGUAUGAUGAUGAGGGAUCAUGAUGGACAAUUUGGAUACAGAGUCCAGCCGAUUCAGCCAAAUCUUCAGGAAAAGAUUAUGUCGUUGGUCAUCGAUUGAUCAUUAGAGAUUUGAUGCAAUCUCAUUACCAAUCUACUAUCUAAUUCGUGGCUCUUUGUCUUUAUGAAUGUGUGUGUCUCUAUCAGACUUUUAUUUAGCUUACAUGUGUGUUGUUUGCUUAUGAAACCUCUAUGUAUUGGUUGUGUUGUAUGCCAAACUAAACGUUUGAAACUAUUUAAUUAUUGCAUGUGUGUGAAAACUAAUUAUUCUUUACUAAGCAAUACGUGAUUCGGGAGGUUUCUUUUUGAAAAGUUAUAAUUGGCCUCCGUGCUAGAAUUUUUUUGGAUCACAUUCAAGUUGUAUAAUGUUAUUAGGACUUAGGACAAGAUGCCUUGAGAGUGAUCAAACACAAGCCUUUAGUUCAAAAAAGAGUGAUCAAAAACAAUUUAUUAAACCGAAAAAGACUCAAAACUAUAUUUUAAAUGUAAUAUUAUUACAUGUAAACUGUUCUGUUCACGUUUGUGUCGUAUACAAUAUUUAUUCCCUAAAGUUUCUUUUAAAAACAGAGUUGUGUAGAAUCAAUCACACAUGCACCCUCAUGUUUAGCCUUCUCAACCAAACGGAGUGAAGAAUCAUUCGAAGCAUGUCAAACGGUUGGGACGGCCUAUUGAUAACGAAAUGUCUCUGGACCUGCAAAACUCUUCUUUGCAACACCUUGUAGCGUCUCAACGACACGCUCUUUAGUAUCGUUUUGAUCUCUGGGAUCUUCUCAGAGGGGACAUGAAUGGUGAACUUACUCCAAUCAAGAACGUCUGAGAAGGGCAAGGCGUAGUGAUCAGAGAUGAUGACAGGGACACAACCUAAGCUAAUGGCUGCUACGACUCGAGGGCUAGCCACUUCGUAGCCACUAGGACAGAGACAGAACCUUGCCUUGGCCAUGAGCUUGAAGUAGUCUUCCUUUCUUGGUAAGUACUCAUGGACUUGGACCUCAUCGUCUUUGUCUUUCCAAUGCUGCAGUAGAAUCUUGCGGAUAUUGCCGUGUACGCGGCCUGCAAAGAAAGCAAGGAUGGGUCGGUCAUGGCCGGAAGAAUUGGAUAACCUAGGUGGGCCCAGUUGGCCCAGGGGGAUGUUGAUCUCCGGGAUUGAGACAUCUCGUUGGGGCAUGAAACCUUCCGAUGUGUUGGCGUUGCAGAGAACUCUUAUCAUGUUUUUCAGCAGCUCCGGAUCCGAUCCCGAAACCUCUGGUGCCUGUAAGACGUUUUAUAAAUGUUGCGUGUUAGACACGAUAAGUAGGACCGGCUCAAAGUUUUUUAGACAACUUUGGACAGGAUUUUUUACAAGUUUUUAAUAACAAAAAAAUAUUCUACAACAACAAAUUAGUCUGAGUUUCUCAAACAAAAAAUAAAAACAAAUUAGUAUGAGUUUUCUCAAAGAAAAGCAAAUUAGUAUAAGUGAAUUAUUUAAUACUAUACGAUACUGUAAACAAUAAAGGUAGUUAAUUUUUUUAAAAUAAUAUAUUUAACUUUUUAAUAAAAAUGUUUUUAAAAAAAAUAAAUCAUUUUUUGACACUGAAAAAUUAAUUAAUUUUUUUUGAACUUUGGAAGCAUAAACUAUUAUUACAUAGAGGGUGAAAGCAUGGCCGGCUCAAAGUUUUUUAGGCACUUUAGGCAAAAAAAAAUUUAAAAGUUUUUAAUAGCAAAAAAAAAUAUUCUACAACAACAAAUUAGUAGUUUCUCACAAAAAAAAAACAAAUUAGUAUAAGUUUUCUCAAAAGAAAAGCAAAUUAGUACAAAUGUCUCUAAAAUUAUUUAAUAUAUGAUACUGUAAACAAUAAAGUUUGGUUAAUUUUUUUUUAAAAAAAAUAAGUUUUUAAUAAAAAAAAACUUUAAAAAAAUUAUAUCAUUUUUAACACUGAGAAAAAUAACUUUAUGAAGAAAACGAACCCAAUCAUGGCAAGAAACGAAGAAAUGGUCGGCUCCGAGGCUUCUAUUCCAAUAAGGAUACUUGUGAGUCACGACACUGACGUAGUCAAGAAACACUUUAUGAAGUUGUUCUCUUGAGUAGGUCACGAGCGGGUGGUAUAGGUACUCAACGACGUUGGCGACGCUAACCGGGAGGAGGAAGGUGUGAGCCUCGUCAGGGUGACUAGCCGCGAAUGGGCUCAUCCCUCUUUCCAUCUCGUCCACGAAUUGGCCUUCGAUGCUGUAUAUGUUGUUCAUUGGACCUAUGUGUACUAACGGUGUCUCUCCUUCUUUGUACACCCACACUUUGAAUCUCUUUUCCAUCUAUCUUCUUCUUCAUAUAAACCACAUAUCUUCUCCUCCAUAUCUUAACAAUUUCAUAGCAAACCCUAAAACUGAGAAGAGAGAGAAAAAAAAUGGGUAGAGGGAAGAUAGAGAUAAAGAGGAUAGAGAACGCAAACAACAGAGUGGUGACGUUCUCAAAGAGGAGGAAUGGGUUGGUGAAGAAGGCCAAAGAGAUCACGGUUCUUUGCGAUGCAAAAGUUGCUCUCAUAGUCUUUGCAAGUAAUGGUAAGAUGACUGAUUAUUGUUGUCCUUCCAUGGACCUUGGUGCUAUGUUAGACCAAUACCAGAAGUUAUCUGGCAAGAAACUAUGGGAUGCUAAGCAUGAGGUACUCUCUCUUUGAUAUAAUCUAAAGUUUCAUUGUCUCAAAAAAUAUUCUAUGACCAUUGAUUUUCAUGAAUUUCAUUGCCUAAAACAUGUCAGAUCCCUUGAAUCUUCAACUCUAGACGCAGAUCUACUCUAGUGUUUUGUCUCAAACAAAUAUUCUGUGCUACAUAUCAUGAAAUUGAUUCUUUAUUUAUAUUUUCCUAAAAUAUGUCAAAAAGAUAAACCAUGAACCCUAGAUGCAGAUCUACAAAGCUUUCUUUUGUGUGUUAAGCCUAUCAAGCCUCUUUAUUGAUUCUCUUGUACUCAAACAAGACAUGGAGCCACAAAACAUGGAAGUUAUUCUCUUCUUUCCAUUGUUUUCUUUUAUUAGUGCUUAGUUUUAAAGCUCUUGAUGGAUAUAUUCUAGAGUAAAAAACAUAUUGCAUUCACAACCUGUAUUUUGAAACCAUAAAAGACAAUCUUAAGUGUGUUAGAUCCAUAAGUAAUUUCAUUAUUAGGUCAUUAUUAUGGAGAUAAAAAACCUGGGGAGUGAUAUUACUGAUGAAAAUGUCUGAACAGUUUACCGAUUUUACAUUUGUGAUUUUCGAAACUAAUUAAAAACUGGGAAGUACUGUUGAAUAGACUUUUUUACAACAGGUCUAGUCAAAAUAUUAUAUUUUUAUUAAUUAGUUCGGACGAUAGGUUUUGUUCUCACAAAUGACAUAUAUAUCUCUAUACAGUAAUAAGCUUUCAUAGAGUUGUAAGCCAUUUAAGUGACUGCCUAGUAAUAUCUGUGUAUCUGCAUAUAUAUACUUUUUACAUAAAGCGUGAAUGUGUAUAAAUAUAUAUAUAUAUAUAUGUAUUUAUAUGCAUAAAUCAUGAGCAUAUAGAGAUCGUCAUGCAUAACCAGAUCUGAGUCUCCAGUUUCUUUUUAAGACAUAUUUUAUGUCUAGUGUAUGGACAAGGGAAUUUUUAGUUUGAUCUAAAUUCUUAAAUACCAAUUUUGUUCAUCUAAUACAC